AACGAACGCUGGCGGCGUGCUUAACACAUGCAAGUCGAACGAUGAACCCGGAGCUUGCUCCGGCGGAUUAGUGGCGAACGGGUGAGUAACACGUGAGUAACCUGCCCUUGACUCUGGGAUAACUGCUAGAAAUGGUAGCUAAUACCGGAUACGACACUCGGUGGCAUCAACAGGGGGUGGAAAGAAUUUCGGUCAAGGAUGGACUGGCGGCCGAUCAGCUAGUUGGUGAGGUAACGGCUCACCAAGGCGACGACGGGUAGCCGGCCUGAGAGGGUGACCGGCCACACUGGGACUGAGACACGGCCCAGACUCCUACGGGAGGCAGCAGUGGGGAAUAUUGCACAAUGGGCGCAAGCCUGAUGCAGCAACGCCGCGUGAGGGAUGACGGCCUUCGGGUUGUAAACCUCUUUUAGUAGGGAAGAAGCGAAAGUGACGGUACCUGCAGAAAAAGCACCGGCUAACUACGUGCCAGCAGCCGCGGUAA
Molecule: ribosomal RNA, 484 nt
Filed under: uncultured bacterium
Lineage: Bacteria
Description: partial 16S ribosomal RNA
Rfam family: Bacterial small subunit ribosomal RNA
Source: RNAcentral